GGGGGUGACUGGUUUCGACAGGGAUCAAGUAGACUGGAUAAGCAUGUCGGUGAGAUUACCUAUCCCGUCAUAGAAUGGUGAUGCUAAAAAUUCAAGUGCAGAUGAAAAUCUUGCAUUAGCUGCUUAAUUAACAAGUAGCUCAUUUGUUUAGUUGUUUCCAUUUGCAACUCUACAAAUGCCGUUUAAAAUGGAUAUGAUUCUGUGAUAUCUAUAAGCAGAAUUGAAUUUUCAUAGGUUAUACCAGGAAGAGCUUGUUUGUUAUGCUAUUCUGGAAGAAAAAAAACUAAUAGACUAAACAUGUAGAAAUUCCUUUAGACGGAUCCCUGGACGCGGGUUCGACUCCCGCCACCUCCAUUU
RNAcentral lists this transfer-messenger RNA (357 nucleotides) under Candidatus Cloacimonadota bacterium. It matches the Rfam family "transfer-messenger RNA". From Rfam's summary of the family: Bacterial tmRNA, also known as 10Sa RNA or SsrA, is named for its dual tRNA and mRNA-like properties. Its role is to liberate the mRNA from a stalled ribosome. To accomplish this part of the tmRNA is used as a reading frame that ends in a translation stop signal. Lineage: Bacteria; Pseudomonadati; Candidatus Cloacimonadota. RNAcentral also lists the same sequence under 1 other name. The record is from RNAcentral.